UGCUUCUGUGUGAUAUGUUUGAUAUUGGGUUGUUUAAUUAGGAACCAACUAAAUGUCAAACAUAUUCUUACAGCAGUAGGCAA
Molecule: microRNA precursor, 83 nt
Organism: Balaenoptera musculus (blue whale)
Lineage: Eukaryota; Metazoa; Chordata; Mammalia; Artiodactyla; Balaenopteridae
Gene: MIR190B
Product: microRNA 190b
Source: Ensembl